GUGUCAGCAGCCGCGGUAAUACAGAGGGUGCGAGCGUUGUCCGGAAUCACUGGGCGUAAAGGGCGCGUAGGCGGUCUCUUAAGCGUGUGGUGAAAGCCCGGGGCUCAACUCCGGGUCGGCCGUGCGAACUGGGGGACUGGAGCUUGUCAGAGGCAGGCGGAAUUCCGGGUGUAGCGGUGGAAUGCGUAGAGAUCCGGAAGAACACCGGUGGCGAAGGCGGCCUGCUGGGACAGUGCUGACGCUGAGGCGCGACAGCGUGGGGAGCAAACAGGAUUAGAUACCCGAGUAGUCC
Molecule: ribosomal RNA, 292 nt
Filed under: uncultured bacterium
Lineage: Bacteria
Description: partial 16S ribosomal RNA
Rfam family: Bacterial small subunit ribosomal RNA
Source: RNAcentral